GACGAACGCUGGCGGCGUGCCUAAUACAUGCAAGUCGCACGAACGGCGACGGAACUUGUUCCGUCAAAGUUAGUGGCGCACGGGUGAGUAACACGUGGAGAACCUACCUUUCAGCGGGGGAUAACCAUUGGAAACGAUGACUAAUACCGCAUAGGACAUCUGGUCACAUGACCGGGUGAGGAAAGACGGCUUCGGCUGUCACUGAAAGAUGGCUCCGCGGAGCAUUAGCUAGAUGGUAAGGUAACGGCUUACCAUGGCCAUGAUGCAUAGCCGACCUGAGAGGGUGAUCGGCCACACUGGGACUGAGACACGGCCCAG
This 318-nucleotide ribosomal RNA is filed under the name uncultured bacterium. RNAcentral's name for it is "bacterial SSU rRNA". It matches the Rfam family "Bacterial small subunit ribosomal RNA", at positions 28 to 334 of the family's 1533-position model. The record is from RNAcentral.